Molecule: small RNA, 596 nt
Filed under: Pan troglodytes (chimpanzee)
Lineage: Eukaryota; Metazoa; Chordata; Mammalia; Primates; Hominidae
Description: retained intron
Source: RNAcentral
AGCAAGUGUGGCUGAGCUCCGGGGUGUGUGGACGCCGCUUUGUUGCCUGAGGGGGGUGGCGGUGGAAGUUAAGGGAGUCAGGGACUAUCGCUCCUCGAGACUCGCAGUCGCGGCCACUGCAGUCAUUCGCCAGUUAGCCCUUAGGGUAGGAGUCGCGCCGGCAGCAGCCAUGAGCGGCGGCGUGUACGGGGGAGAUGAAGUUGGAGCCCUUGUUUUUGACAUUGGAUCCUAUACUGUGAGAGCUGGUUAUGCUGGUGAGGACUGCCCCAAGGUGGAUUUUCCUACAGCUAUUGGUAUGGUGGUAGAAAGAGAUGACGGAAGCACAUUAAUGGAAAUAGAUGGCGAUAAAGGCAAACAAGGCGGUCCCACCUACUACAUAGAUACUAAUGCUCUGCGUGUUCCGAGGGAGAAUAUGGAGGCCAUUUCACCUCUAAAAAAUGGGAUGGGUAUGAUGUUUUCCCCAUGGAAUUGAUUAUGGAGUGUACAUGUUAUAUUUUAGAUAUAAAGUAGUAGCUUCCUAUAAGUUGAACAUCAACCAUGGUUUUUUGUUUUGUUUUGUUUUUUAUUCCACAAACUGAUUUCCAGACACUGAGAAU